Molecule: ribosomal RNA, 500 nt
Filed under: uncultured bacterium
Lineage: Bacteria
Description: partial 16S ribosomal RNA
Rfam family: Bacterial small subunit ribosomal RNA
Source: RNAcentral
AUUGAACGCUGGCGGCAGGCCUAACACAUGCAAGUCGAGCGGAUGAGAAGAGCUUGCUCUUCGAUUCAGCGGCGGACGGGUGAGUAAUGCCUAGGAAUCUGCCUGGUAGUGGGGGACAACGUUUCGAAAGGAACGCUAAUACCGCAUACGUCCUACGGGAGAAAGCAGGGGACCUUCGGGCCUUGCCCUAUCAGAUGAGCCUCGGUCGAAUUAGCUUGUUGGUGAGGUAAUGGCUCACCAAGGCGACGAUCCGUAACUGGUCUGAGAGGAUGUACAGUCACACUGGAACUGAGACACGGUACAUACUCCUACGGGAGGCAGCAGUGGGGAAUAUUGGACAAUGGGCGAAAGCCUGAUCCAGCCAUGCGGCGUGUGUGAAGAAGGUCUCCGGAUUGUAAAGCACUUUAAGUUGGGAGGAAGGGCAGCUAGCGAAUACCUGGUUGUUUUGACGUUACCGACAGUAUAAGCACCGGCUAACUCUGUGCCAGCAGCCGCGGUAA